Long non-coding RNA from Rosa chinensis, 2017 nucleotides. RefSeq lists it as uncharacterized. The record is from RefSeq and is a predicted model, not a curated record. NCBI's taxonomy places the organism in Eukaryota, Viridiplantae, Streptophyta, Magnoliopsida, Rosales, Rosaceae. The transcript is spliced from 3 exons.
GUGGGUUGCCCUGCUCUACAGUGCUUGCCAGAUAGUAGGCUACCCUCUUCUCUUUCUGAUCUACGUAUUCAUGGAUGUCCUUUGCUUAAGAAACGGUGCCAAAGAGAGACCGGUGAAGAUUGGCCCAAGAUUGCUCACAUCAAGUGCAUAUCAAUUUGGUAACGACAUGACAACGACAGAGGGCUUGCAUCUGCGUGUAAGAUCCUAUUGUUUGAAAUCAUUGUUGAUUCCACAGUUCUAGGGUCUUGCUUGAACUCAUGAUCGAUGGGUUUGACAACGACAUGCCAUAUGAAGGAGAAACAUACCAUUUCCAUUUCCAUUUCCUACGGUAUGUCGCACAUCCCAAUUCUGGUCUUUGCCCUUCCCAAUUCAGUCUUAACAUUGGGAAGUGUAGGGUAAUGUGUCUUCUUUGUGCCCUGUUUCUUGACAUGCAGCUGUUUCGUGGAAAGUGAGCAAAAUUUCGUGAUAUGUUAAGACAGAGAUAGGCUGAGGUUAAGAUUGCUCGCAGGACCAAUAUUGCCAUGUCUUGAUGUCUGAGUUAUAUCCAGCAGAGUAUCAAUUGUUCCAAAGACACCCUAUCACCAUCGUCCUCAUCCUCUCCAGCUUACUAGCAUAUACGCUGCCCUUGAUCGGCUUCAGUAUGACAGCUGCAAACAUGCUUAUCCACAUGCCGUUGUAAAAGAGCAAUGAUUAUAGAGAUAUGGAGCCUACUUUCCAUGGCAUCAAAAGCAGUCGAAAGUUUUGAAAACUUAUCUGAAUGUUGAAGGCUAUCGACUUAUACUUGCUCAGAGCAACUUGUUAGACGCUUUCAAGGGACAGAUUGGGUGUCUGCAAGAGGUUUUUGGGUGUCCAUAGCAAUUGUGGAUAGCAUGUACCCAAAAUGGAGGUCAAUCGAUUGAAGUGAGUGAUGAUCAAGGAGGCAGGUGCAGGUCAGUAGGAGAGUUGAGAAGACUGGCCGUUAGGCGCUGAUGGCUAGCGCUGGGAGCUGGCCCUAGCUGUGGUUUACCGCUGGGCUCUUUUGCCGCUUGAGUUAGCUGAUUGCCGCUGAAGCUCACAGCUCGCCAUUGAACACCACUGCUGAAUAUUGCCUCUGGAGCUAGCAGAUUGCAGCUGAAGCGCGGGGCUCGCCGCUGAACACCCCUGCUGAAUAUUGCCGCUGAAGCUUGGGGCUCGCCGUUGGAACUAGCCGAUUGCCACUGAAGCUCACAGCUCGCUGCUAGGUUGCUGGCUGUGGGUUGCUGCUGGGCUCUUUUGUUGCAGGAGCUGUCACCAGGCGGUGCGUUCGCUAGCGAAGGAUCGGUGCUGGUGCUGGCGGUGACCGCUGCUGCUGGUUCUAGCGGAACUGUGAUUGGAGUUCAACGCUGCCAUGAUUGGAGGUCGGCGUUGCCACCGACUGAAGUUUUGGCUCGUUGGCGGAAGGUCGGCGCUACCGUUGACAGAAGCUCGGCAGUGCCGCUGACGGAAGCUCGACAGUGUCGCUGAUUGAAGCUUAGUGCUGGCGCUAGCUGCCUAGCCUUACUGCUAUGGCAACGAGCUGUGAUUAAUACUGGUGCUAUAGCCUUGCUAGCGGUGGCUGAUGAUUAAAGAUGGGAUGAUGAUAGAGGGAAGUUGGGGGAGUUUUGCUUGGUUUCGCAGUGUCUUGGUUUUGACCUGAGCUGCUUAUAUCCUCAGUGUUGCCAACAUAUCCUUCAGACUGUUUCAUCUCCAUAAUGUUAUAGCAAAUCAAGAGUGUAACUAAAUGAAAGAUGGAAGCUGUUGCUGUGCUCGCUAGCCGCUAGCCUUGCUACCACUGGAUGGUUAUGCUAGAAUCGCUAGGAGUUGAAGCCGAAGGUUUUUUUUUUUUUUGAGUGGUUCUGCGUUGACCAGCCCUGCUCGGCGUUGACGAAGCGUUGACUUGCAUAUGGCGUAAGUUUCCGUUGAGAAUAUUAAUUAUGUAACUCAAAGAAAAAUUAUUUUGAGCUCCGUUAAGAUGACUUAACUCAAUGGUAAGUGACAAAACCUUUAUAUCAGCUUCCCA